CAACAUGGGCGGUAUUAUGCAGAAUGGUAUUACGCAUGUGCUUCUUCCGCUAUACGCCAUGGACAGACUGUUGUGUGUUUUUAUUAGUAAACGUUAAAGAUCAAACGGUAAUUCUGAUUAAUAAAUAUUUAAUCAGGGUUGGAAUGAGCGUCAUAGGAUUAAUAUCUGGAUUUGAAUUCUCAUCUAGCAAAGCUCCUGUUGAUAAAACUACCCGUUAACGCGAACCAGCUGUAGCUUCAUAGCUAGUAUGUGCUUUUAGCAACGCGGGUGUAGAUACACUAGCGUAGCCCUUGAUCAUGCACUUCCAUUAAAUUACACAUAAAUCAUUGAACGUAGGGGGUGUUUUGAAUGAACAUUAAUAGGCAUCGCUUGCUGUACGGUUUUGGAAGCAUAAGGACCUUUCCUAUUGGUGAUUCUGCUUGUUCGCAGAAAACAUACGGAAGCGUACUACCUGUACUAAUUAGCUAUCUGCGUCUCUGAACACCUGUGUGUAAACGGAAGACAGACGCAACAAACGUGUUGUCACAGAAAAGUACUGUCUGCUGUACCAGUGUUAAGACAGUGCUGCACAGUAGGUUGGUGGCACCUUAAUUGGUAAUGGGUGGUGUGGAAUAUUAUCAAAUACGUCAAACUUGUUUGAUGCCAUUCGCUCCGUUUCACACAUGAUUAUGAGCCGUACUCCCCUCAGCAGCCUCCACUGCUGAGUAUCAUCAUGUCCAGGGUGCCGAUGGGCAAGGUGCUGCUGCUGCUAAAUGUUAUUCGUCACACAGAUGCCCACAAGAGUGUAGAGGUCCUGAGAGGAGCCUUUCCAAAUAAUGACAUUGCGUUGUCUCAGACGGAGUCACAUGCACUGUGAUCGUGUGGAGGAUGGGUCUGUAGACAGACUGGGAGAAGAGAACACGUUUCRAGCCAGGACAAGAGGGAGGCACGCUACUGGACCAAGAGACUCUAUGACUUUGAGGCCAAUGAUCCAGACAGGUGCAUCUUUUUCUGUUUACAACUCUAGUAUUAUAGCCUUGUGAGUUCAUAAGUUUGAGUUGACAAACGGCGACAUGCUAUGAAAGGUGAAUCUCAUUGGUACUGUGCAUGUUUCCUCUACAGAUGGUGACACAGCGGUUUUAAGGAGCUAUACCCAGAGGAGUUUAAAAGGAGAGAGACCGAUGAUCAGAAUGGGCAUUGGAGAAAGUAAAAGUCCAGACUUAAAACAGCCAAAUCAAAACGUCUGAGGAAGUCCUCCAAGAAGAAGAAAGAGGAAAAGCGAAGGACAGGUGAGUCAGACGGUGAGUCCAGCAACGACACGAGCGACAAUGUCAAACAGGAACAGAAGAGGAAAAGCAGCAAGAGGGAGAGAGAGGAGAGCAGCUCAGAGGAGGAUGAUGAUGAUGAUGAUGAGGAGGAGAGAAGGAGGAAAUGAUAGAUGGACUCCCACAGAGACUCAGGACCAGAGUCACACAAGAAGAGGAGGAAAAACUGGAAAGCAGGAGAGGACAAAUCGGAGGACAGUUCUGAGGAUUGAACCUUUUUCCAUUGGCAGCCAGUAACCUGUACCCUCAUACUGCUCAACCCCCUUUCAGUUGCUGAAAGUGAGUGGGCAAAGCUUUCACAGUUACACCCCACUUCCACUUUAGUGCCCAUUGUUUCCCACUAGAUUUGUUGUGAACACAGCAUCACCAUAGCUAGUUGCUAGACAUGUUUGUGAUUUAUCCAAUAACAAGACAACUGAGGAAUUGGCUAAAGUACAAAUACAACUUUUGAACAGACCUACUGGCAGGGGAAAGCAUAUCGUUCUUCCCUUAACUUUCCUCUGCAAUACUCUUCUGUUCUGUACUUCUCUUUCUGUGUACAGCUGAGCACAAACCUGUGUUCUCCCCUAAGGGCAUUCAGCAGUACCUCACCUUCUGUUACUGGCAGUGCUCAAGCUGCAGUGCUCAGAUAGUGAGCUGACACUGCACAAAUAUGGACUAAACGAAAGCCACCUAAUUCCACCUCAUGACAAGCUGAUUGACUGCAGAGCCUUGUCUCAUAGUUAGUGUCCUGGCUCGACUUUAGCUGUUAUACUAUGGAAAAUGAUGACAUUUUAUGCAGAUUUCCCAACCAAUUGUGACAAUCUUUUCUGCAUUUUUUAAUUCAGUAUUUAUUUAUUUUUUAAAUUGUGAUUUAUGGGAGUCGGGAUUUAACGGAAUGUCAGGUGGGACAUUGCAAAAUAAAAUGCAUAUUUAGUUGUUUUCUGAAAAUGUACUCUGGUUAUCACACCAUACUUUUAGACAGGAAGGACAUAUCACAUGGAUCUCAUGUUAUGACUACAGGAUAUCUACAUGACUAUCAUUCACUAGUCUUCUCUGUAGGCCUGUAGCCUUUCUAUUUCAUGAGCAUGAAUUUUACACUUCAUGCAUCCAAUUUUAUGAAAUAUUGCUUCCAUUUGCCCCUUGGGUUGAAUACAUCCAGAACUGGGUACCAUUAACCAUAUAACAUUGUAUAAAUGGUGUACGGUUUCCCUCUAGUGUUAAGUUUCUACAGUACUCGCUGUAGUUUUAAUGUGCAUGAAAAUGGAAUAGGUCAGCACUGAAUGAGAAUCUCUACAUUACUAUAUAAAUACUUUUAAGAGACCUGCUGAAAAAGGUGCUAUCGUCUAAAACAGGUUUGAGCUUCAUAGUUUUAUUCUUACGUCGAGAGCAGGCCACUGCUAUAUGGUAUCUUUUCAAGUUCAUGCCUUUCUCCUUAAUGAUCAUCACGCUGUACAAGGUUAAUUUAUUAUUUAGUGGAAGGGCGGAGGGGGCCUACAGAGUCUAAUAUCCUGUUAUCUAUGGUGCGUUGUCUCCACCUGGUGGCUCAACAGUGUAUAACACCCUGAGGAUUGAUUGACUCAUGGCUGCUUUUGACUUCAUCAGAAUAAAUAAUUUAUUUGUGACAUAUAAAGCAA
Non-coding RNA from Salvelinus sp. IW2-2015, 2920 nucleotides. Lineage: Eukaryota; Metazoa; Chordata; Actinopteri; Salmoniformes; Salmonidae. The record is from RefSeq and is a predicted model, not a curated record.